Molecule: transfer RNA, 64 nt
Filed under: Neocentrocnemis stali
Lineage: Eukaryota; Metazoa; Arthropoda; Insecta; Hemiptera; Reduviidae
Description: tRNA-Ala
Source: RNAcentral
UGGGGGUAUAGUUAAUUAAUAACAUCUAAUUUGCAAUUAGAAAUUACCUUAUAGUUUCCCUCAA